Lacerta agilis (Sand lizard) is the source of this 337-nucleotide long non-coding RNA. RefSeq lists it as uncharacterized. The record is from RefSeq and is a predicted model, not a curated record. The transcript has 2 exons. NCBI's taxonomy places the organism in Eukaryota, Metazoa, Chordata, Lepidosauria, Squamata, Lacertidae.
AACAACCUAGUAUUGAUUUUCAUGCCAAUGUUGCAUUUCUUCUUUUUUCUUUUUUAACAGAAAGAAGAAAAAAGCAGGGUUGGGAACAGGGAAGCACAUGUUAAUAUUUGCUGAAUCCUGCUUGUCUGUGAAGAUGGAUGAGUGACCUGCUUGCCAAAGCAGAGAGAAGCUCUUUGGGGUGAGGAAGAGUUCUGUAGAUGACAAGCUUAAUUCCCCGCCCCCAGUAAAUAUUUUUGGCACAGGCAGAUCAAUACCAAGAGCUCUUAGUAACUGCCACGGGACACCCGACCAAAGCAAGAAAGCGUGAAAAAGAGACAUUCAGAGAGAGAGAGAGAGA